CCUUAUACCAGCAUGUGGUCUACAUCCAAAAUGGGCUGUUGAUCAGAGAGACCUACUAGAUCUCCCAAAAUAAAUGAGACAGACUUCUGUCAGUGCAUCUGAUUACCCACCAGAGGUUAAUGAUAGGAGCUGGACCUGAGGAGAUAAAAGACACAUAACCAUUGCUCAGAGAAUUUUGCAGAAGAGAAAGCAGAGGAACCACAGUUGUGAAGCAAUAUCCAGAGGCAUUGAUUCCCCCCACAUUGACUGAGAGGAUGUGCUGCUGUCUCAUCACACUGGCAAUUUAGUGAGCAUAGAAUGAAUUUGCUGAAAUUGUGAGACAAACAUACUCACUGCUUUCUCGAAAUCACUAGAGAAGGUUCCAUAUGCUGCAGAAAGAAC
Jaculus jaculus (lesser Egyptian jerboa) is the source of this 381-nucleotide long non-coding RNA. RefSeq lists it as uncharacterized. The record is from RefSeq and is a predicted model, not a curated record. NCBI's taxonomy places the organism in Eukaryota, Metazoa, Chordata, Mammalia, Rodentia, Dipodidae. The transcript is spliced from 3 exons.